Molecule: ribosomal RNA, 383 nt
Filed under: uncultured bacterium
Lineage: Bacteria
Description: bacterial SSU rRNA
Rfam family: Bacterial small subunit ribosomal RNA
Source: RNAcentral
AGUGAACGCUGGCGGCAGGCCUAACACAUGCAAGUCGAGCGGCAGCAGGUUCCCGCGAGGGGAUGCCGGCGAGCGGCGGACGGGUGAGGAACACAUCGGAAUCUGCCUGGUUGUGGGGGAUAACGUAGGGAAACUUACGCUAAUACCGCAUGCGACCCUGAGUCGACGGACUGGGGGUGAAAGUGAGGGACCUUCGGGCCUCACGCGACCAGAUGAGCCGAUGUCGGANAGCUAGUUGGCGGGGUAACGGCCCGCCAAGGCGACGAUCCGUAGCUGGUCUGAGAGGAUGAUCAGCCACACUGGGACUGAGACACGGCCCAGACUCCUACGGGAGGCAGCAGUGGGGAAUCUUGGACAAUGGGCGCAAGCCUGAUCCAGCCAUG